CUACGUGCCAGCAGCCGCGGUAAUACGGAGGGUGCGAGCGUUAAUCGGAAUAACUGGGCGUAAAGGGCACGCAGGCGGCUAUUUAAGUGAGGUGUGAAAUCCCCGGGCUUAACCUGGGAAUUGCAUUUCAUACUGGGUCGCUAGAGUACUUUAGGGAGGGGUAGAAUUCCACGUGUAGCGGUGAAAUGCGUAGAGAUGUGGAGGAAUACCGAAGGCGAAGGCAGCCCCUUGGGAAUGUACUGACGCUCAUGUGCGAAAGCGUGGGGAGCAAACAGGAUUAGAUACCCUGGUAGUCCACGCUAUAAACGAUGUCGAUUUGGGGGUUGAGCUUUGAGCUUGGCGCCCGUAGCUAACGUGAUAAAUCGACCGCCUGGGGAGUACGGCCGCAAGGUUAAAACUCAAAUGAAUUGACGGGGGCCCGCACAAGCGGUGGAGCAUGUGGUUUAAUUCGAUGCAACGCGAAGAACCUUACCUACUCUUGACAUCCAGA
RNAcentral lists this ribosomal RNA (490 nucleotides) under uncultured bacterium. RNAcentral describes it as "bacterial SSU rRNA". It matches the Rfam family "Bacterial small subunit ribosomal RNA", at positions 501 to 992 of the family's 1533-position model. The record is from RNAcentral.